UACAGGGGGUGCAAACGUUGCUCGGAAUCAUUGGGCGUAAAGCGCACGUAGGCGGUCUGUUAUGUCGGAUGUGAAAGCCCUUGGCUCAACUGAGGAAGUGCAUCCGAAACUGGCAGGCUAGAGUACUAAAGAGGGUCGCGGAAUUCCCGGUGUAGAGGUGAAAUUCGUAGAUAUCGGGAGGAACACCAGUGGCGAAGGCGGCUUCCUGGCCUGUUCUUGACGCUGAGGCGCGAAAGCUAGGGGAGCAAACGGG
This 253-nucleotide ribosomal RNA is filed under the name uncultured bacterium. RNAcentral's name for it is "partial 16S ribosomal RNA". It matches the Rfam family "Bacterial small subunit ribosomal RNA", at positions 524 to 776 of the family's 1533-position model. The record is from RNAcentral.